UCUAAGUCAGCCACGAAUAGGCUAUCCCAACUAACGGCGGGAAAGACUCCACGGAGGGUGUAAGACCCGUGUGGGCGCGUGUCAAAGCUGUGCGGGCUCGGCCUCUUUUCCCUGAGAGUCGCGUUGCUUGAGCAUGCAGCGCUAAGCAGGUCGUAAACUCGAUCUAAGGCUAAAUAUCUCCACAGAACCGAUAGCGAACAAGUACCGUGAGGGAAAGUUGAAAAGCACUCUGGAGAGAGAGUCAAAAGACCGUGAAACCGCUCAGAGUAUAAGCCCAUGGCAGCUUGGAAGGCAUAUCGCUAGCGGGGCAUCGGUCUCCCUUCACGGGGAGCUGGUGUUACCUUGCUUCUGUUGUGGCUCGUUAUGGUAGGGGGGUCAAGUCCACAUCCCGCCGUCGUGUGGGGAGUUCUCGGGCGUGUCGUUGCUUUGCGGUUGACUUCGGUUGGCCGUAGGGCUCUUCGCGCUUGGUUCUCCUUUGGACACGGACGUUCAGACUCAGUUGCAAGACGCGAUAACCAGCCCACCACGGCACGUUGUGAGGUCACCCACAGGCUUGGCUUUCGAUUGUGGUCCUUGACGCCGAGCAAGCACAAUGCGUGUCGCAGAUGUUCCUAACCGGGCAAUGGGCCAGGAUCGUGGAACGACACGCGCUCAAAAGUCAGGACCGGGCGAUGACAAAGUUCUGGUAUGAUCCUCAUGCGACGAGCCGGCUUCUGGCCGAUUCCGAUGCUCAGGUCUCCCGCAUGUGCCGCGGGAGAUCGCUUUGGCGGUCUGGAUCUCAAAGAAUCCUCUCAGCCGGGCAACGGAAAGAGUGGUGUAAAGUCCAAGCCCAUCGGUCACGUCUCGAAACACGGGCCAAGGAGUAUAGCAUGUGUGCAAGUCUAAGGGUCUCACAAAACCCGAAGGCGAAGUGAAAGCAAGUAAGCGGCGGGUGAUCUACGGAGAGAUCCCGUCAGCUAGAGGGGCCCUU
RNAcentral lists this ribosomal RNA (970 nucleotides) under Gammarus cf. fossarum M DCC-2015. RNAcentral describes it as "partial 28S ribosomal RNA". It matches the Rfam family "Eukaryotic large subunit ribosomal RNA", at positions 151 to 778 of the family's 3401-position model. Lineage: Eukaryota; Metazoa; Arthropoda; Malacostraca; Amphipoda; Gammaridae. The record is from RNAcentral.